Molecule: ribosomal RNA, 253 nt
Filed under: uncultured bacterium
Lineage: Bacteria
Description: partial 16S ribosomal RNA
Rfam family: Bacterial small subunit ribosomal RNA
Source: RNAcentral
UACAGAGGUCUCGAGCGUUAGGCGGAAUCACUGGGCUUAAAGCGUGUGUAGGCGGAUGCCUAAGUACCUUGUGAAAUCCCACGGCUCAACCGUGGAACUGCUUGGUAUACUGGGUGUCUUGAGCCACUUAGGGGCUACCGGAACAAAUGGUGGAGCGGUGAAAUGCGUAGAUAUCAUUUGGAACGCCAAUGGUGAAGACAGGUAGCUGGGAGUGUGCUGACGCUGAGACACGAAAGCCAGGGGAGCAAACGGG